This 253-nucleotide ribosomal RNA is filed under the name uncultured bacterium. Its description in RNAcentral is "partial 16S ribosomal RNA". It matches the Rfam family "Bacterial small subunit ribosomal RNA", at positions 524 to 776 of the family's 1533-position model. The record is from RNAcentral.
UACGGGGGGGGCAAGCGUUGUUCGGAGUUACUGGGCGUAAAGGGCUCGUAGGCGGCCAACUAAGUCAGACGUGAAAUCCCUCGGCUUAACCGGGGAACUGCAUCUGAUACUGGAUGGCUCGAGUUCGGGAGAGGGAUGCGGAAUUCCAGGUGUAGCGGUGAAAUGCGUAGAUAUCUGGAGGAACACCGGUGGCGAAGGCGGCAUCCUGGACCGACACUGACGCUGAGGAGCGAAAGCCAGGGGAGCAAACGGG